CCCCUAGAUGUUCUGGGCCGCACGCGCGCUACACUGAACAGUUCAACAAGUCUUAACCUUGGCCGAUAGGUCUGGGUAAUCUUUGAACGCUGUUCGUGAUUGGGAUAGACCUUUGCAAUUAUGGGUCUUCAACGAGGAAUUCCUAGUAAACGCAAGUCAUCAGCUUGCAUUGAUUACGUCCCUGCCCUUUGUACACACCGCCCGUCGCACCUACCGAUUGAAUGGUCCGGUGAAAUCUCGGGACGGCGGCUUGGUCGCUUGCGUCCGACUGCUGAAACUUGAUUAAACCAUAUCAUUGAGAGGAAGGUGAAGUCGUANCA
Molecule: ribosomal RNA, 320 nt
Filed under: uncultured eukaryote
Lineage: Eukaryota
Description: partial 18S ribosomal RNA
Rfam family: Eukaryotic small subunit ribosomal RNA
Source: RNAcentral